RNAcentral lists this long non-coding RNA (254 nucleotides) under Mytilus galloprovincialis (Mediterranean mussel). The record is from RNAcentral. Lineage: Eukaryota; Metazoa; Mollusca; Bivalvia; Mytilida; Mytilidae.
GAAAUAUUUCAUUACUGAAAAUCUGUAUUUACAAGUCAUUUAUAUUUUCCAAAUAGCAAAAUGCGCAUGGGAUUUUAUUUUUUAAAAUUUUCAAAUGACUAUUUCUCGAAAACAGUUAGUGAUAGACACAUGCGGUCUUCUGUAAUGAGAAAAGGACAACAAUAAAAAACCAAACAACAUAUAGGGUGAGUCCCUUGGUGUCAUCCCAACCCCUUUCAAAUUGAAAAUGUACAUUUAUCUUGUAAACUGUCGCG